This 1728-nucleotide ribosomal RNA is filed under the name Oratosquilla oratoria. RNAcentral describes it as "bacterial LSU rRNA". It matches the Rfam family "Bacterial large subunit ribosomal RNA", at positions 1237 to 2846 of the family's 2925-position model. The record is from RNAcentral. Lineage: Eukaryota; Metazoa; Arthropoda; Malacostraca; Stomatopoda; Squillidae.
CGUCGUGUCAGUGGUGAAGCUGCCGGGUGACUGUGUGGUGGAGUUGAUGCGAGUGAGAAUGCAGGCAUGAGUAGCGUGUGACGGGUGGGAAUCCCGUCCGCCGAUUAUCCAAGGGUUCCAGGGUCAAGUUUGUCUGCCCUGGGUGAGUCGGGUCCUAAGGCGAGGCCGACAGGCGUAGUCGAUGGGUAACCAGUUGAUAUUCUGGUACCGGCUUGUCACCGUCCGUGUCGAGGUGUGUGAUGCUAAGCAUGUGAGCUUGUCUUGGGAGUGUUUUUGAUGCUUCUGGGGUGGGUGAGUGUGUGAACCGAUCAUGUAGUAGGCAAGCUGCGGAGGGACGCAGUGAGGUAGCUCAUCCCCGGUGAUGGUUGUCCGGGGCUAAGUGUGUGGACUGUCUGGUAGGUAAAUCCGCUGGGCGUGAAGGUUGAGGCAUGAUGGGGAGCCCAUGGUUGUGGGUGAGUGAGUGAUCCUGUACUGUCGAGAAAAGCUUCGUGAGCGAGGUGGCGGGUCCGCCCGUACCCUAAACCGACACUGGUGGAUAGGUAGAGUAUACCGAGGCGAUCGAGUGAAUCGUGGUUAAGGAACUCGGCAAAAUGCCCCCGUAACUUUGGGAUAAGGGGGACCUGAGCUGUCGUGCACCCGUGCGGUGUGGUGGCGGUGAGGGGCGCAGAGACCAGGGGGAAACGACUGUUUAUCAAAAACACAGGUCCGUGCGAAGUCGUAAGACGAUGUAUACGGACUGACUCCUGCCCGGUGCUGGAAGGUUAAGAGGAGCGGUGAGGCACUGUUGGGUGUUGAAGCUGUGAAUUUAAGCCCCAGUAAACGGCGGUGGUAACUAUAACCAUCCUAAGGUAGCGAAAUUCCUUGUCGGGUAAGUUCCGACCUGCACGAAUGGAGUAACGACUUCCCCACUGUCUCAACCACAGGCCCGGUGAAAUUGCAGUACGAGUAAAGAUGCUCGUUACGCGCAGCAGGACGGAAAGACCCCGGGACCUUUACUAUAGUUUGGUAUUGGUGAUUGGGACGGUUUGUGUAGGAUAGGUGGGAGACUGUGAAGCGUUCACGCUAGUGGGUGUGGAGUCGUUGUUGAAAUACCACUCUGGUCGAAUUGGGUGUCUUAACCUCGGGCCAUGAUCUGGUUCAGGGACAGUGCCUGGUGGGUAGUUUAACUGGGGCGGUUGCCUCCCAAAGAGUAACGGAGGCGCCCAAAGGUUCCCUCAGCCUGGUUGGCAAUCAGGUGUUGAGUGUAAGUGCACAAGGGAGCUUGACUGUGAGACUGACGGGUCGAGCAGGGACGAAAGUCGGGACUAGUGAUCCGGCGGCACCUCGUGGAAGGGCCGUCGCUCAACGGAUAAAAGGUACCUCGGGGAUAACAGGCUGAUCUUGCCCAAGAGUCCAUAUCGACGGCAUGGUUUGGCACCUCGAUGUCGGCUCGUCGCAUCCUGGGGCUGGAGUCGGUCCCAAGGGUUGGGCUGUUCGCCCAUUAAAGCGGCACGCGAGCUGGGUUCAGAACGUCGUGAGACAGUUCGGUCCUCUAUCCUCUGUGGGCGUAGGAAAAUUGAGAGGUUCAAACCCUAGUACGAGAGGACCGGGUUUGACGCACCUCUGGUGCUCCGGUUGUUCUGUCAAGGGCAUGGCCGGGUAGCUAAGUGCGGAACCGAUAAGCGCUGAAAGCAUCUAAGCGCCAAGCUAUUCCCAAGAUUAAUUUUCCCUGAAGGAUCGUGGAAGACC